AUUGAACGCUGGCGGCAGGCCUAACACAUGCAAGUCGAGCGCGAAAGUUCUUCGGAAUGAGUAAAGCGGCGGACGGGUGAGUAAUGCAUGGGAAUCUGCCUGGUAGUGGGGGACAACGUCUCGAAAGGGACGCUAAUACCGCAUACGCCCUACGGGGGAAAGGGGGGGAUCUUCGGACCUCUCGCUAUCAGAUGAGCCCAUGUCAGAUUAGCUAGUUGGUGGGGUAAAGGCCUACCAAGGCGACGAUCUGUAACUGGUCUGAGAGGAUGAUCAGUCAACAGGGAACUGAGACACGGUCCAGACUCCGACGGGAGGCAGCAGUGGGGAAUAUGGGACAAUGGGCGAAAGCUUGAUCCAGCAAUGCAGCGUGUGUGAAGAAGGUCUUAGGGUUGUAAAGCACUUUUGGUGGGAAGAAAAGCUGUUUCCUUAAUACGCAGGCAGCCGGAUGGUACCCAAAGAAGAAGAACCGGCUAACUCCGUG
RNAcentral lists this ribosomal RNA (481 nucleotides) under uncultured bacterium. RNAcentral describes it as "partial 16S ribosomal RNA". It matches the Rfam family "Bacterial small subunit ribosomal RNA", at positions 30 to 507 of the family's 1533-position model. The record is from RNAcentral.